Non-coding RNA from Punica granatum (pomegranate), 1569 nucleotides. NCBI's taxonomy places the organism in Eukaryota, Viridiplantae, Streptophyta, Magnoliopsida, Myrtales, Lythraceae. The record is from RefSeq and is a predicted model, not a curated record.
AAUCAAAACCAGCCGAAGAAUUUCAAGAGAGGGGGAGAAGAAGAGACUCUGUGAGAUAUUGUGAAAGAGAAAUGGACGAUAAUGGAGGGAGGAGGACGAGAGAUGGUGUGGGGAUACCAGAUGAAGGGUAUGGUCCGGGAGAAGAGUACGACAAUGGAAAGGAGAGAGGCGUGGCCGGAGAAGACGAGGUGGAGUCCAUCGAGAAGAUAUUCGCGUCCCAGGAGGUGCCGUCCUGGAAGAGUCAGCUGACAUUCAGGGCUUUUGCAGUGAGCCUGCUGCUGAGUGUUGCGUUCAGCUUCAUUGUGAUGAAGCUGAACCUCACGACGGGGAUCAUCCCCUCGCUGAAUGUUGCUGCGGGGCUGCUGGGGUACUUCUUUGUUAAGACUUGGAAUCGCCUUUAGCGGUUCUACUUCGACUUCUCAGCGACAUAUGUUGGAGUCGGGAUGAUCUGCCCUUAUAUCAUAAACAUCUCAGUUCUUGUCGGAGGGAUAAUCUCUUGGGGUCUGAUGUGGCCACUAAUUGAAAAGAGAGCAGGAGAAUGGUGGGAUCCAAUGGCUGCAAAAAUUGAAGAUAUGCGGGGCAUUAAAGGCUACAUGGUAUUUCUUGGUAUUGCUUUGAUUCUUGGGGAUGGACUCUAUAACUUCCUCAAGGUACUGAGCAUCACGUUACAUGCUAUGUACCAGCAGUUCCGGAAAAGGGAGAACGUUCUUCCUGUAGCCUCUGAUUCCUCCCCAGAGAGCUCUGAGCGCUCCUUUGAUGAGCAGAGGAGGACCCAGAUGUUUCUCAAAGACCAGAUCCCCUAUUGGUUUGCCGUUAUAUAUAUAUAUAAAUCAAAGAUAUAUAUAUAUAUAUAUAUAAAACAUGAUCUCGUUAGCUAUACUCUUCGUUCUUCAGUGCACUGGGGAGAGGAGUUAGUUUCCCACAUCCGUCCCCGAGCAGUCGAAUUGAUGUGGCGUCUGAGAAAUGCUUCGAGUUACUGAUGGUCCAGGCUUUUGCGACUGGCCUGCAGCUCCUCAUGCAUGUCAUCCUCGACAACAGGACCUCAUGCAGAAGAUGGAGGUCCCGUUGUCGAGGAUGACACGCAUGAGGAGCUGCAGGCCAGUCGCAAAGGCCUGGACCAUCAGCAUCCUCACUAUCGCCUUCGAUGACUCGAAUCAUUUCUUCUCAGACGCCAUAUCAAUCCGACUGCUCAGGGACGGACGUGGGAAAUUGACUUCUCUUCCCAGUGCACUGAAGAAGGAAGAGUAUAGCUAGUGAGAUCAUGUUUAUAUAUGUAUAUAUCUUUGAUUUAUGUAAUGUAUAUAAAAUGUAUGUGUAUAUAUAUAUAUAUAUAUAUAUAUGCCGUGUUGAGAUUUUUUGAACAGAUAGUUUUAUUCGUCACUCAUUUGCUUUGUGUUUGACUCGUCACAAGAUGAGAUCACCAAUUCAAAUAAACACCACUUCCCUGCGCAACUGAUCCAACUUCCAUCGAGCUAGUCUCUCGGUGCACUUGACUAAUUAACACAUUCGUCGGUGAUGUGUACAUAUUCAAUUCAUGCGUCCAAUUGCAAGAUAUUAAUAUUUUGUCCC